GCUUUCCUAGCUCAGUUGGCAGAGCGUCAGUCUCAUAAUCUGAAGGUCGUGAGUUCGAACCUCACGGAGAGCA
This is a transfer RNA of Lobosporangium transversale, 73 nucleotides long. It matches the Rfam family "tRNA". Rfam says of the family: Transfer RNA (tRNA) molecules are approximately 80 nucleotides in length. The record is from Rfam. Lineage: Eukaryota; Fungi; Mortierellomycota; Mortierellomycetes; Mortierellales; Mortierellaceae.